Long non-coding RNA from Notolabrus celidotus (New Zealand spotty), 430 nucleotides. RefSeq lists it as uncharacterized. NCBI's taxonomy places the organism in Eukaryota, Metazoa, Chordata, Actinopteri, Labriformes, Labridae. The transcript is spliced from 3 exons. The record is from RefSeq and is a predicted model, not a curated record.
UUGUGUGUACACCUGUGUUGAUUACCCUGUGUGUUUAGUUCCUCUCUUUCUCCUUUUGUCAGCUCAUUAAGUCUUAUUCUUGUGGAUUUUAUUGGACUAUCUUUUAUUUGACUAUCUUGGACUUUUUGAAAGUUAACUACGCAACCACGCCAGUGUCCAGGGUCCUGAUGGGGAACUUCACAUCUGAUGCAGAAGCUGUCCAAAGCAGGGCACAUUUGGUCCAGAUUCCCCUCUCCUGACACAAUACUAAGAAAUGAGACGAGGAGCGGAGGUAAAACCACUCAGUGUACGAGUGUACGUCCAUAAUUGAAAAAUUCCCAGCGAUAUGAGAAAAGCAGAGAUUAAACACAUGCAACAAAGGAACCAUAUAAUUUAAAGUUCCUCCAAAGAAGAAGAAGAAGAAGUCGUUUUACAAGCAGGGAAACUUUAA